Molecule: non-coding RNA, 1842 nt
Filed under: synthetic construct
Source: RNAcentral
GGGCUAUCCCACCAUUACCAGCCAGGUUCAGUGGAAAGACCUUCCCCCUGGCUAUCUUGGCAAAUUUGGGUGGCAAAAGAAUAUGGCCCUGAAGGAAUUUAAUGAAAAUGAAAGAUUUACCAUGUUUUCAGAGAAUGAGCGGGAGAAGACACUGGUGGUGGGGAAAGAUAAAUAUGUGGAAUAUGGAAGCCUGACCUGGAUGAUGCCUGAAUGGGGCGGGACCUAUGGAGUUGUGACUAAUAGUUUUGCCUUUGUCUCUGUCAACAUAACUGUGGAGUCCCAAGUUUGUUCUGCGUCCAUAAUUUUUUCCCAUAAUAAAGGUGGACCAAGUUUCAAAGGAUCAAUUGUGCCUGAAAAAAUUCUCAUUGGUAAAACUGAUUUAUAUAGCAUGUAUUUUAUAGCCUUCAACACCAAGCCUGUCUGUCAAACGGAUAUCAUAACUGGGAUUGAACUCCAGAACCUGUUUGUUCAAAUGGUUACAGAGUUACCAGAGAAUAUAAUGGCGGAUAUUGCCAAUGAUGUGGCCUAUUUCUCUGCUGUUAAUUGCCAUCCCUUGAAGAUUCCUGUUCCCAGGCUUAUAAGGACAUUUACAAAACUGACAAUUUCUCAUUUUCUGACAAUAUCAGGCAUUGUGGCCACCAAAACAGAUACAGUAGACGUUGGUUGCCUGAUUCAGCAGCUAGCGGACCUCAGGUACUUGAGAGAAUCCCUCAGUGCUUGCAGUAUGGCCUACUCUCCUCACAUGUUUACAUCUAAUUUCCUGAAGUUUCUGUCAGGGGUGCAGAUAGAAAGGCUGCCAAAAGCCACCCAGAUCCCUCAGGCGGAUAUGUCAAGAGCCAUGGCGAUGCUAAGGUUUGGAAUCACCAACUACAACGUCUCCGCCCACGCCUUCACAUUCAUGGAGGAAAUGUUUGAGAACAUCUAUAGGGAAUAUUCAUAUGUCUAUUCUCUAACAUCAGAAACCAGGAAGGCAAUGAUGGGCGUGAGCGAAACCUUAAAACACGUUGCCAAGCUCUGGAAGUUCACAACUAAGGACUUGAUAAAAUUGUUCACCAUAGCUACGUCCAUGUGUACAAAUAAUGAAAUUAGUACCAUGGUUGAAAGACACGCCCCCCUUUGGGACAUCGAUGCAGUGGAAACUUUCUCUCCCUGCUAUCUGAGUCUCAGAUUUGACUUUAGUGCCAAUAAGAUAAAUUUUGAGGUGGAGCAGACUAGUCAGCUCACGCCCAAGAGGACUUCUGGGGGUGUGUCUGGCUUUCUCACAGACCUUCACAACCAUCAUCUGGACCUGGUGGCAACGCUGCCUUUUGUAAAGUGUUUGUCUCAUGUUAUCAACAACACUGAUGUGAUACUGCCACUGGAAAAAAUAACAUAUAUCAUCAGCAAGGAAGCUGUACCGGGGGUGACAGUGUAUGAUGUAGCUGAGACCUUUCUAGAGAGUAAGUUGGUGAUAUCUGUGUUCACGGACGAAUGUCAGCCAGCCCUGCAAGACACGGAUGUGCACAGAACUGUUCCAGUAAUUUAUAAUAUCAGUGAUAGCAGAUGUCAAUUUUGUGGUUCGAUCAUCAUGAGUUAUGAUGAAUCACAGGGAUUUCUGGCAGCUAUGUAUGUGUCAGACAAAACCAUCCAGACAAAUUUGUUUCUCCCAGAAUCACCCUUUUUUGAUAAUCACAAUACCCACGUGCACUAUCUUUGGCUCAUGAGCAAUGGAUCUGUUGUGGAACUUAGAGGAAAAUACAGGAGGCAAAUUCAGAGUGUCUUUAUUUUAUUUGCUGUCAUUUCUCUGCUCUGCUUCCUCUGUUUUCUGGUAUUGCAGAUAAUAAAGUACAUUUUUCAUUAAAG